Molecule: long non-coding RNA, 1144 nt
Organism: Panicum virgatum (switchgrass)
Lineage: Eukaryota; Viridiplantae; Streptophyta; Magnoliopsida; Poales; Poaceae
Exons: 2
Source: RefSeq, a predicted model, not a curated record
UCUUAUAUUCCAUAAAUUCAUUCAUCUAAUCAUAUAUAUGCAGUUUUUUCGUGAGCUGUGAAGCUUCUCCCGGUUAGAGUUCUACACAUGAUUUUUGUUUGGUGAAGUGGUACUGUCUUCAAGAAACAAAUGAAGGAUUAUUUGGUGGGUUGAGGAUAUAAGAAAAUUGCAUUAUAGUUGGCAGAACUUCUCCAUCAAGCCCAUAAUAAAAAAAAUUAAACUGUAGUUCAUCAGAUCUCAACCAGUUGCAAAUAAGAAAAAAAAAGACAAAGAGAUGCAUUGCCCAUGUUUCGUUAGAAAAUUGGACCAGACUAUACAUCACUGCAGCGUACCAAUAUCAUUUCCUCAUUAGCAUGCCAUAGGGUUAAAGUUUAAUGAUUGAUGCUUGGUGAAUCUAAUUCAGUUUCAGGAUAUGUUGGAAUUCAGAAGAGCUUUAUUCACUGGUUUUGUAACUACAAAUGGUUACAUGUAUGUUGGGUCAGCUACUGUUCUUUUGUAAGAGAGGGCAACUUCAAUUUUAACAAUAUAAGGAGACCAAAGAGCAACUGGCUUGUGGCCAGCUCAUGGUACGAUGUGUUCUGCUGCAGGUUGGAUGAGGAGAUGAAGGUCAAGCAGAUGAGGAAGGAGCUUGUGCCAAGAGCACAUCUGAUGCUAGAUUGUGCCUAAAAGGUCGCAGGUCUCGAGUCGUCUUCUCUCCUCUUUUAAUCUCAUUCAGUUUACAUGAUCAAAUAUAAGACUUAUUUCUUAUAUUCCAUAAAUUCAUUCAUCUAAUCAUAUAUAUGCAGUUUUUUUGUGAGCUGUGAAGCUUCUCCUGGUUAGAGUUCUACACAUGUUUUUUGUUUGGUGAAGUGGUACUGUCUUCAAGAAACAAAUGAAUGAUUGCAUCCUAUGACAUUACAGAAGGUCACCUGUUGUGUCGUGAGCGACUGAGCGCACUUUGACCACUACACUCCAGUGUCCAAUUCCUUAAAACUGGAAAUGUUUGCCCAAUCGCUGAUAUGAUCCAUUUGGUCCCCCACUUUUGGAUUUUCUAGAACAAAAGGAAGGAAUAAUAUGAAGUUUUAUUUGAAAGUUUAUCAUUUUGAUAUUUUGCAAAUAGUCUUACGAUGAAGAAGCAUUGCAAACGUGGCCAUUUCGGUACUAA